RNAcentral lists this ribosomal RNA (497 nucleotides) under uncultured bacterium. RNAcentral's name for it is "partial 16S ribosomal RNA". It matches the Rfam family "Bacterial small subunit ribosomal RNA", at positions 28 to 507 of the family's 1533-position model. The record is from RNAcentral.
GACGAACGCUGGCGGCGUGCCUAAUACAUGCAAGUUGAGCGAUGAAGAUUGGUGCUUGCCCCAAUUUGAAGAGCAGCGAACGGGUGAGUAACGCGUGGGGAAUCUGCCUUUGAGCGGGGGACAACAUUUGGAAACGAAUGCUAAUACCGCAUAAUAACUUUAAACAUAAGUUUUAAGUUUGAAAGAUGCAAUUGCAUCACUCAAAGAUGAUCCCGCGUUGUAUUAGCUAGUUGGUGAGGUAAAGGCUCACCAAGGCGAUGAUACAUAGCCGACCUGAGAGGGUGAUCGGCCACAUUGGGACUGAGACACGGCCCAAACCCCUACGGGAGGCAGCAGUAGGGAAUCUUCGGCAAUGGACGAAAGUCUGACCGAGCAACGCCGCGUGAGUGAAGAAGGUUUUCGGAUCGUAAAACUCUGUUGGUAGAGAAGAACGUUGGUGAGAGUGGAAAGCUCAUCAAGUGACGGUAACUACCCAGAAAGGGACGGCUAACUACGUG